ACAGGCUUGGAAGGCAUCAUGAAACUUGAGGUUGAUCAUCAAAUCAUCUCUUACUUCUCUUGUACUAGUAAUAUUUUGCGUAUAUAUGGCAUAUCCUGAAACAUCUGUCGUUGUUAUGGCACACUAGGAAUCUGGGAUGCAGGCCUAGGGUGUAUCGUCGCGCCACCCACUUCCAUUCACCUGAUUGCUCAACUUCUGUCGGGAAGUCAGGUGGCACAGAUCAAGGCAUUCUAACACAGAGGUGGGGUCAUUGGGCAAUACUUGAUUGAAGGACAAGUUGCUGAAAUCCAUCAACCCCUGCUUUGAAAGAGAGUUUGUGUUGUUGUGGAGGCUGAGAAUUCAGAGUUGGGUGUGUUUGGAUCUUUGGCUCCCAGAUAUAGCUACCUACCAGAUAGAUGAUCGUGGCUUCUAGAGCCACACAAAAUCAGACAUCUGGCGACGCUGCUGUUUAGGACAGGCAAGAAUCUCACACCAUCAUCCAAACAAGCUUCAUAUCCAGCCAUCCAUGUAGGGCACAAGUGACGAAUGCUGACACAUGUGUGCUCGUGACAUCCUUAGCAAAUCACGGCAGUUAAAAACAUUGUUAAUUCAGUCUUAGAGGCUUAAAAUAAAAAUUCUCAAGCAAUGCUUAGACCAUAAAAAAAGUCAAGCAAUGCUUUAAGCCCAUGCAUGACUUGAAUUUCUUUUUUCCCCAA
RNAcentral lists this long non-coding RNA (695 nucleotides) under Sorghum bicolor (sorghum). Its description in RNAcentral is "long non-coding RNA (SBIC_LNC004088)". Lineage: Eukaryota; Viridiplantae; Streptophyta; Magnoliopsida; Poales; Poaceae. The record is from RNAcentral.